Cinara cedri is the source of this 1190-nucleotide non-coding RNA. The record is from the annotation of a GenBank genome assembly. NCBI's taxonomy places the organism in Eukaryota, Metazoa, Arthropoda, Insecta, Hemiptera, Aphididae.
AAAAACGAAAAGGAAUUAUUAUAAAAUAUUAUUAUUAUUUUGUAAAAUCGUAUAUUGUGUACAUAUAUAUAUAUUAAUAAUAACAAUAACAUUAACUAUACAUUUUAAUAUCAUAAUAUUAUAUAAUAAUCGUAUUAUAAUCGUGUAUCGAUUUCAUUUCACCGCAUUAGAAACACGCCGUACAUCACACACACACACACACAUACGUACCGCGCGUAAGGGAUUUAUAAUAUUAUUAUUAUAACACGGUUUAAUGAUAUUGUAAUGUUUUACACGUGCGUUACGCGCGCCGCCGUAUGAUAAUACGAAACUAAUUAAUAAAAUGCAUAAUUAUAUUAAUACGUAAAGGGAUUAUUAUGACACGACGCCCGGACAACGGUCGAAACGGAAAAACGUAUAAGGGGAACGUUCUCGAGCGUGCGUUUACUUUGCCCGUUAUAUCAGCCGCCCUCCCCCCACCUUUGAUCGCGUCAACCGGGUUAGGUUAGGUACCGCGAGCCCGAAGCCGCGAUAGAAAAAAAAAACAUUACCGUGUAAACCUAUAAAAUAACAUCGCCGGCUAUCAGAAACCGUAUCGAACCCGUUGUGGCUAACAGUCGUACCGACUGCGGACCCGACGGAAACGGAAAAGUUACCUGGUAUAAUAUCCGCCUGAAAAAAAAAAAUAACAGCAGGCGCGUCGGCGAGGCGAAAAUUCGCAUAAAAACGCGGCCGAACACCGUGGAAUAAAAAACAAAUACAAUUGUAAUAAACAAUAUAACUAUGGAUUUUCGUUUUUACUGUUAUCGUACGACUGCCGACACGCCGGGCGUUUUUAGCCGUUGAUACGCCCGGAGCUGUUUUUAUUUUCGUCCGUUACGGACUUUCGCGGCGUCGCCGCCGGAACUUCAAAACACAACAAAAUCGGCCGCGAAAUAAAAAAAUAGCCUCAAAAUAAAAUCCGUAACGUGUUCAAUAUAAAAAUAUCCAUCAAAACUUAAUUGAUAAUACAAACGAAAACGAUGAAAUGACGCUUAACACGCGAUGAUAAUAUAAUAUUAUAUUAAUUAUAUUAAUUGAUAAAAAAUAAAAAAAAAAAAAACCCCGGUAAUCGUAUAUAUUACUCUACUAUGAUAUUAUAUUCGAUUUUUGUAUAGUGUGUAACAUUAGGCGUUUUCUCUUUUGUACUGUUUUUUUUUUUUUUUUUUUUU